This 666-nucleotide ribosomal RNA is filed under the name uncultured Bacteroidota bacterium. RNAcentral's name for it is "bacterial SSU rRNA". It matches the Rfam family "Bacterial small subunit ribosomal RNA", at positions 60 to 737 of the family's 1533-position model. The record is from RNAcentral. Lineage: Bacteria; Pseudomonadati; Bacteroidota.
AGACUAGGGGGCAGCAAUGUCACCGUCGCACGGGUGCGUAACGCGAAUGCAACCUACCUAUCACAGGGGGAUAGCCUUUGGAAACAGGGAUUAAUACCGCAUAAAGCAGGGGCUCCGCAUGGAGAUAUUGCUAAAGAUUUAUCGGUGAUAGAUGGGCAUGCGUCUGAUUAGUUAGAUGGUGGGGUAACGGCCUACCAUGACGAUGAUCAGUAGGGGGCGUCAGAGCGUGGUCCCCCACACUGGCACUGAGAUACGGGCCAGACUCCUACGGGAGGCAGCAGUAGGGAAUAUUGGGCAAUGGAUGCAAGUCUGACCCAGCCAUGCCGCGUGAAGGAAGAAGGUCCUCUGGAUUGUAAACUUCUUUUAUCGGGGAAGAAGAAUCACCUUGCGAGGUGAAGUGACGGUACCCGAUGAAUAAGCCACGGCUAACUACGUGCCAGCAGCCGCGGUAAUACGUAGGUGGCAAGCGUUGUCCGGAUUUAUUGGGUUUAAAGGGUGCGUAGGUGGUUUAAUAAGUCAGUGGUGAAAGCUGGUUGCUCAACAAUCAAGUUGCCAUUGAUACUGUUAGACUUGAGAGAAGUGGAGGCUGGUGGAAUGGAUGGUGUAGCGGUGAAAUGCAUAGAUAUCAUCCAGAACGUCAAUUGCGAAGGCAGCUGGCUGUACUUU